This 517-nucleotide ribosomal RNA is filed under the name uncultured Staphylococcus sp. Its description in RNAcentral is "bacterial SSU rRNA". It matches the Rfam family "Bacterial small subunit ribosomal RNA", at positions 8 to 507 of the family's 1533-position model. The record is from RNAcentral. Lineage: Bacteria; Bacillati; Bacillota; Bacilli; Caryophanales; Staphylococcaceae.
AGAGUUUGAUCCUGGCUCAGGAUGAACGCUGGCGGCGUGCCUAAUACAUGCAAGUCGAGCGAACAGAUAAGGAGCUUGCUCCUUUGAAGUUAGCGGCGGACGGGUGAGUAACACGUGGGUAACCUACCUAUAAGACUGGGAUAACUUCGGGAAACCGGAGCUAAUACCGGAUAACAUUUAGAACCGCAUGGUUCUAAAGUGAAAGAUGGUUUUGCUAUCACUUAUAGAUGGACCCGCGCCGUAUUAGCUAGUUGGUAAGGUAACGGCUUACCAAGGCGACGAUACGUAGCCGACCUGAGAGGGUGAUCGGCCACACUGGAACUGAGACACGGUCCAGACCCCUACGGGAGGCAGCAGUAGGGAAUCUUCCGCAAUGGGCGAAAGCCUGACGGAGCAACGCCGCGUGAGUGAUGAAGGGUUUCGGCUCGUAAAACUCUGUUAUUAGGGAAGAACAAAUGUGUAAGUAACUGUGCACAUCUUGACGGUACCUAAUCAGAAAGCCACGGCUAACUACGUG